CGAAAUGCGAUAAGUAAUGCGAAUUGCAGAAUUUCCGUGAGUCAUCGAAUCUUUGAACGCACAUUGCGCCCGCCAGCACUCUGGCGGGCAUGCCUGUUCGAGCGUCAUUUCAACCCUCAGAACCCCUUGCGGGAUCUGGCGUUGGGGAUUGGCAUCCAGCCAGCCCCGAAAUCUAGUGGCGGUCCCUCCGCGACCUCCCCUGUGCAGUAGCGAUACCUCGCAGCGGGACAGCGGUCUGACCACGCCGUAAAACCCCCAACUUCUCAAGGUUGACCUCGAAUCAGGUAGGAAUACCCGCUGAACUUAAGC
RNAcentral lists this unclassified non-coding RNA (309 nucleotides) under plant metagenome. RNAcentral describes it as "partial contains 5.8S ribosomal RNA, internal transcribed spacer 2, and large subunit ribosomal RNA". The stretch from base 1 to 107 matches the Rfam family "5.8S ribosomal RNA", at positions 49 to 154 of the family's 154-position model. The record is from RNAcentral.